Molecule: long non-coding RNA, 708 nt
Filed under: Salvia miltiorrhiza (redroot sage)
Lineage: Eukaryota; Viridiplantae; Streptophyta; Magnoliopsida; Lamiales; Lamiaceae
Description: long non-coding RNA (SMIL_LNC006434)
Source: RNAcentral
CGUUUGAGGUCGUGACAUGAGUGUGAGCUUCAGGGACAGCUUUUGCCAGCCCGAAAUCUGCAAUUCGGGCUUCCAUCUCGUCAUCCAGCAGCACGUUUGCAGGUUUCAAGUCUCUGUGGAUAAUGCGAGGGUUGUGAUGCAUAUGAAGGUACUCCAGCCCUGCUGCCACCCCUACUGCGAUCUUGUAUCGUGCCGCCCAAUCCAAUUCUCGUUUUCCUUCUGAUACUAAUUUCAUAUAGUCUUGCAGGCUGCCAUUCUUCAUGUACUCAUACACCAGGUAAUGGCAAUUGGGCCGUGGCAGAUAAGCUAGCAGGGAGAGCAAAUUCCGGUGGCGGAUUUGGCCCAUGGUUUGAAUCUCAGACCUAAUCUGCCGCAUUUUCUUGUUUAACAGCUUGCUGUCUUCUUCAUUCACCCCGCCCUCUGCAUCUGAAGGCAGUUGAACUAUCUUCUUGAUCGCGAUUUCCUUCCCGUCACUUCCAGGUAAAGCAGCUCUGUAAACUUCCCCACAGCCACCUCUCCCUAUAAUAUCAAGUGAUUGUAAUCCAUCAUCAUUUUCCAGAAACGCCAAGUCCUCGGGCUUCUUGAUCAUCGCGCUGAAAAUCUUCAAGCUCGUGUCUUUUGUGUGUGCUCGGAUUAAGCGCAGCAACAGCUUGAAAACCAUGGAGAAUACCAAUCCAGACAGACAGCCUGCUAGAAUCCCAGCCAUAA